GAUGAACGCUGGCGGCGUGCCUAAUACAUGCAAGUAGAACGCUGAAGGAAGGAGCUUGCUCUUUCCGGAUGAGUUGCGAACGGGUGAGUAACGCGUAGGUAACCUGCCUGGUAGCGGGGGAUAACUAUUGGAAACGAUAGCUAAUACCGCAUAACAGUAGAUGUUGCAUGAUAUCUACUUAAAAGGUGCAAUUGCACCACUACCAGAUGGACCUGCGUUGUAUUAGCUAGUUGGUGAGGUAACGGCUCACCAAGGCGACGAUACAUAGCCGACCUGAGAGGGUGAUCGGCCACACUGGGACUGACACACGGCCCAGACUCCUACGGGAGGCAGGAGUAGGAAAUCUGCGGCAAGAGACGGAAGUCUGACCGAGCAACGGCGCGUGAGUAGAGGAGGUUUGCGUAGUGUAAAGCUGUGUUGUAAGAAGAGAACGAGUGAGAGUGGAAAGUUCACACUGUGACGGUAUCUUACCAGAAAGGGACGGCUAACUACGUG
This 495-nucleotide ribosomal RNA is filed under the name uncultured bacterium. RNAcentral describes it as "partial 16S ribosomal RNA". It matches the Rfam family "Bacterial small subunit ribosomal RNA", at positions 28 to 507 of the family's 1533-position model. The record is from RNAcentral.